CAGUCGCCGCGGUAAUACAGAGGGUGCGAGCGUUAAUCGGAUUUACUGGGCGUAAAGCGUGCGUAGGCGGCUUUUUAAGUCGGAUGUGAAAUCCCUGAGCUUAACUUAGGAAUUGCAUUCGAUACUGGGAAGCUAGAGUAUGGGAGAGGAUGGUAGAAUUCCAGGUGUAGCGGUGAAAUGCGUAGAGAUCUGGAGGAAUACCGAUGGCGAAGGCAGCCAUCUGGCCUAAUACUGACGCUGAGGUACGAAAGCAUGGGGAGCAAACAGGAUUAGAGACUCCAGUAGUCCCUGUCUCUUAUAC
Molecule: ribosomal RNA, 301 nt
Filed under: uncultured bacterium
Lineage: Bacteria
Description: partial 16S ribosomal RNA
Rfam family: Bacterial small subunit ribosomal RNA
Source: RNAcentral